UACGAAGGGGGCGAGCGUUGUUCGGAAUUACUGGGCGUAAAGGGCGCGCAGGCGGCUCUGAAAGUCAGAUGUGAAAGCCCCGGGCUUAACCUGGGAAUUGCAUUUGAUACUCUGGAGCUUGAGUACGGGAGAGGAGAGUGGAAUUCCCAGUGUAGAGGUGAAAUUCGUAGAUAUUGGGAAGAACACCCGUGGCGAAGGCGGCCCACUGGGCCGGUACUGACGCUGAGGCGCGAAGGCGUGGGGAGCGAACGGG
Molecule: ribosomal RNA, 253 nt
Filed under: uncultured bacterium
Lineage: Bacteria
Description: partial 16S ribosomal RNA
Rfam family: Bacterial small subunit ribosomal RNA
Source: RNAcentral